AGUGAACGCUGGCGGUAGGCCUAACACAUGCAAGUCGAACGGCAGCACAGUAAGAGCUUGCUCUUACGGGUGGCGAGUGGCGGACGGGUGAGGAAUACAUCGGAAUCUACUUUUUCGUGGGGGAUAACGUAGGGAAACUUACGCUAAUACCGCAUACGACCUACGGGUGAAAGCAGGGGAUCUUCGGACCUUGCGCGAUUGAAUGAGCCGAUGUCGGAUUAGCUAGUUGGCGGGGUAAAGGCCCACCAAGGCGACGAUCCGUAGCUGGUCUGAGAGGAUGAUCAGCCACACUGGAACUGAGACACGGUCCAGACUCCUACGGGAGGCAGCAGUGGGGAAUAUUGGACAAUGGGCGCAAGCCUGAUCCAGCCAUACCGCGUGGGUGAAGAAGGCCUUCGGGUUGUAAAGCCCUUUUGUUGGGAAAGAAAAGCAGCAGGUUAAUACCCCGCUGUCCUGACGGUACCCAAAGAAUAAGCACCGGCUAACUU
Molecule: ribosomal RNA, 488 nt
Filed under: uncultured bacterium
Lineage: Bacteria
Description: partial 16S ribosomal RNA
Rfam family: Bacterial small subunit ribosomal RNA
Source: RNAcentral